RNAcentral lists this ribosomal RNA (431 nucleotides) under uncultured bacterium. RNAcentral describes it as "bacterial SSU rRNA". It matches the Rfam family "Bacterial small subunit ribosomal RNA", at positions 29 to 506 of the family's 1533-position model. The record is from RNAcentral.
ACGAACGCUGGCGGCAUGCCUAACACGUGCAAGUCGAACGAGACCUUCGGGUCUAGUGGCGCACGGGUGCGUAACGCGUGGGAAUCUGCCCCUGGGUCCGGAAUAACAGUUAGAAAUGACUGCUAAUACCGGAUGAUGUCUUCGGACCAAAGAUUUAUCGCCCAGGGAUGAGCCCGCGUAGGAUUAGGUAGUUGGUGGGGUAAAGGCCUACCAAGCCGACGAUCCUUAGCUGGUCUGAGAGGAUGAUCAGCCACACUGGGACUGAGACACGGCCCAGACUCCUACGGGAGGCAGCAGUGGGGAAUAUUGGACAAUGGGCGAAAGCCUGAUCCAGCAGUGCCGCGUGAGUGAUGAGGGCCUUAGGGUUGUAAAGCUCUUUUACCCGGGAUGAAAAUGACAGUACCGGGAGAAUAAGCUCCGGCUAACUCCGU